GAAGUAGAUAGCUUGCUAUUUACGGAGUGAGUCGCGAACGGGUGAGUAACGCGUAGGUAACCUACCUUUUAGCGGGGGAUAACUAUUGGAAACGAUAGCUAAUACCGCAUAAUAUUCUAUAUUUCAUGAUAGAGGAUUGAAAGAUGCAACUGCAUCACUAAGAGAUGGACCUGCGUUGUAUUAGCUAGUUGGUGAGGUAACGGCUCACCAAGGCAACGAUACAUAGCCGACCUGAGAGGGUGAUCGGCCACACUGGGACUGAGACACGGCCCAGACUCCUACGGGAGGCAGCAGUAGGGAAUCUUCGGCAAUGGGGGGAACCCUGACCGAGCAACGCCGCGUGAGUGAAGAAGGUUUUCGGAUCGUAAAGCUCUGUUGUAAGAGAAGAACGAGUGUGAGAGUGGAAAGUUCACACUGUGACGGUAUCUUACCAGAAAGGGACGGCUAACUACGUGCCAGCAGCCGCGGUAAUACGUAGGUCCCGAGCGUUGUCCGGAUUUAUUGGGCGUAAAGCGAGCGCAGGCGGUUUGAUAAGUCUGAAGUUAAAGGCUGUGGCUCAACCAUAGUUCGCUUUGGAAACUGUCAAACUUGAGUGCAGAAGGGGAGAGUGGAAUUCCAUGUGUAGCGGUGAAAUGCGUAGAUAUAUGGAGGAACACCGGUGGCGAAAGCGGCUCUCUGGUCUGUAACUGACGCUGAGGCUCGAAAGCGUGGGGAGCAAACAGGAUUAGAUACCCUGGUAGUCCACGCCGUAAACGAUGAGUGCUAGGUGUUAGGCCCUUUCCGGGGCUUAGUGCCGCAGCU
This 801-nucleotide ribosomal RNA is filed under the name uncultured bacterium. RNAcentral describes it as "SSU rRNA". It matches the Rfam family "Bacterial small subunit ribosomal RNA", at positions 68 to 853 of the family's 1533-position model. The record is from RNAcentral.